Molecule: ribosomal RNA, 770 nt
Filed under: Nocardiopsis sp. 6042
Lineage: Bacteria; Bacillati; Actinomycetota; Actinomycetes; Streptosporangiales; Nocardiopsidaceae
Description: bacterial SSU rRNA
Rfam family: Bacterial small subunit ribosomal RNA
Source: RNAcentral
UUACACAUGCAGUCGAGCGGUAAGGCCCUUCGGGGUACACGAGCGGCGAACGGGUGAGUAACACGUGAGCAACCUGCCCCCGACUCUGGGAUAAGCGGCGGAAACGCCGUCUAAUACCGGAUACGACCCGCCACCUCAUGGUGUGCGAGUGGAAAGUCUUUUCGGUUGGGGAUGGGCUCGCGGCCUAUCAGCUUGUUGGUGGGGUAAAGGCCUACCAAGGCGAUUACGGGUAGCCGGCCUGAGAGGGCGACCGGCCACACUGGGACUGAGACACGGCCCAGACUCCUGCGGGAGGCAGCAGUGGGGAAUAUUGCACAAUGGGCGAAAGCCUGAUGCAGCGACGCCGCGUGGGGGAUGACGGCCUUCGGGUUGUAAACCUCUUUUACCACUAACGCAGGCUCCACGUUCUCGUGGGGUUGACGGUAGGUGGGGAAUAAGGACCGGCUAACUACGUGCCAGCAGCCGCGGUAAUACGUAGGGUCCGAGCGUUGUCCGGAAUUAUUGGGCGUAAAGAGCUCGUAGGCGGCGUGUCGCGUCUGCUGUGAAAGACCGGGGCUUAACUCCGGUUCUGCAGUGGAUACGGGCACGCUAGAGGUAGGUAGGGGAGACUGGAAUUCCUGGUGUAGCGGUGAAAUGCGCAGAUAUCAGGAGGAACACCGGUGGCGAAGGCGGGUCUCUGGGCCUUACCUGACGCUGAGGAGCGAAAGCAUGGGGAGCGAACAGGAUUAGAUACCCUGGUAGUCCAUGCCGUAAACGUUGGGCGCUAGGUG